Molecule: long non-coding RNA, 1251 nt
Organism: Pocillopora damicornis (cauliflower coral)
Lineage: Eukaryota; Metazoa; Cnidaria; Anthozoa; Scleractinia; Pocilloporidae
Source: RefSeq, a predicted model, not a curated record
GUCUUGCACGUGGAAAAAGCUUACAUACUACAAGAAAUGUAAGCGUCUUUUUUUGCUUCUAUGGAGCCAAGAAAUACGCCAUAUCGACCCUGUUACCUUGGUAUUGUACGUUCUGUCAAGGUCGGCGAUUGUUUCUGUAUAAUGAUCAAGUGGUUUAGACACAAUGUCGAGGAUUCAUGCUUUUCACUUUGACACGACUUUUCUCAAGUAUCAAGAAGAAAAUGAGAAAACCUCAAAAUCAAAGAAAGUCCUGGAAGGAAAUAAAUACCUGACAACUCUCAACAAGACUGACUGGUGAAUAUUCCUGAUGCUUCAAGCACGAUUCAAACAAGACUCUUAUUCAAAUGAACAAAACAGAUGUAGCAUAUUCCUUACAACAAAAUUUCGAGUCCAAGUUAAGAUUCAAAAUGCCCCCAAAAAACUGCUAUUUCGAGAUUUUUUGUAAGUUCAAUUUAUGAUAAGGGCUGUUUGGGAUGAAAAAUUUUCCCGCCAAAAAACUUAGAAAAAAUACGGCGCCCAAAAUACGCAUGCGCCAAAUUUUUUUUUUGUUUUAUUCAAGUAAUAUUUUUCAAAUUUAGUCUAAAAUGGUAAUAAAAAAUAUUUGUUUCCUUGUCUUCCUGUAUUAGCUAUAAUCAAUAAAGUACACUGUUUGGUUUUUUUUCCAUCUUUUAUUGUCUCAAUAAAAUAAAAGUUUCGUAAUCAAACAAAGUCUUGUCUUAAAUUCUUAUUAAUCACAAGUUAAUUAACUAAUUUUCAAUUAAAUUAUGAUAAACGGUGUCAGGGAAAAACUUUCUUCUAUAUACUAAGACUUUUGGCGGAAAAAUUUGGAACUUUUUGCACAGAGUUUCCCCUGGUAACAUUUUGGGCAAUAAUUUUAAUGAGGCUUCCUUUAAAAGUUUGCGCCAAAAAUAUUUACACAGCAUUUCGUGCAAAAUAAUUGAAAAGUAGACGCUUAUUUAUCCUCUCUCAGAAGAAAAACAUUUUGAGCAAUUCCGUUUCGUUUCUUUAAAAAGAAAUUCUGACUCGAUAGGUCUAUCUCUAACUUCUUCAAUUCUUUGCACGAGAUGAUGUGUUGCAGUCUCUAACGAAAGAGCAUCAUGGCAGACUAUACAGCGUCCAAUCAGAAAUAUGAAAUUCACCUUCAAAAUUGUGAUCUCUUUUUAAAUUCUGUUUCUUUCAUAAUCCAAUCAAUUUUUGUGUAAGCCUAAAGCUUGCCGUGAUGCCUUUUAAGGAACAAAAGAUCUUUAAAGC